GUCGUUACAUUCUAUUUAGGAUUAGGAAUAGGCGUAAUCGGACCUGCUUUUGACAUAUCUAUCGUUAUUUGGGUA
This 75-nucleotide transfer RNA is filed under the name Smilax moranensis. RNAcentral describes it as "tRNA-Leu". Lineage: Eukaryota; Viridiplantae; Streptophyta; Magnoliopsida; Liliales; Smilacaceae. The record is from RNAcentral.